GUCUAAGUAUAAGCACUUAUACCGUGAAACUGCGAAUGGCUCAUUAAAUCAGUUAUCGUUUAUUUGAUAGUACCUUUACCUGGAUAACCGUGGUAAUUCUAGAGCUAAUACAUGCUAAAAACCCCGACUUCGGGAGGGGUGUAUUUAUUAGAUAAAAAACCAAUGCCCUUCGGGGCUCCUUGGUGAUUCAUAAUAACUUAACGAAUCGCAUGGCCUUGCGCCGGCGAUGGUUCAUUCAAAUUUCUGCCCUAUCAACUUUCGAUUGUAGGAUAGAGGCCUACAAUGGUCUUAACGGGUAACGGGGAAUUAGGGUUCUAUUCCGGAGAGGGAGCCUGAGAAACGGCUACCACAUCCAAGGAAGGCAGCAGGCGCGCAAAUUACCCAAUCCCGAUACGGGGAGGUAGUGACAAUAAAUACUGAUACGGGGCUCUUUCGGGUCUCGUAAUUGGAAUGAGUACAAUCUAAAUCCCUUAACGAGGAACAAUUGGAGGGCAAGUCUGGUGCCAGCAGCCGCGGUAAUUCCAGCUCCAAUAGCGUAUAUUAAAGUUGUUGCCGUUAAAAAGCUCGUAGUUGAACCUUGGCCCUGGCUGAUCUGUCCUCCUAAUCGAGCGCACGGAUUCGGUCGGGGCUUUCCUUCUGGGGAGCCCCAUGCCCUUCACUGGGUGUGGCGGGGAACCAGGACUUUUACCUUGAAAAAAUUAGAGUGUUCAAAGCAGGCCUUUGCUCGAAUACAUUAGCAUGGAAUAAUAGAAUAGGACAUCGGUUCUAUUUUGUUGGUUUCUAGGACCGCUGUAAUGAUUAAUAGGGACAGUCGGGGGCGUCAGUAUUCAAUUGUCAGAGGUGAAAUUCUUGGAUUUAUUGAAGACUAACUACUGCGAAAGCAUUCGCCAAGGAUGUUUUCAUUAAUCAGUGAACGAAAGUUAGGGGAUCGAAGACGAUCAGAUACCGUCGUAGUCUUAACCAUAAACUAUGCCGACUAGGGAUCGGACGGUGGUUUUUUAUGCCCCGUUCGGCACCUUACGAGAAAUCAAAGUUUUUGGGCUCGGGGGGGA
This 1052-nucleotide ribosomal RNA is filed under the name Exophiala lapidea. Its description in RNAcentral is "SSU rRNA". It matches the Rfam family "Eukaryotic small subunit ribosomal RNA", at positions 57 to 1122 of the family's 1831-position model. Lineage: Eukaryota; Fungi; Ascomycota; Eurotiomycetes; Chaetothyriales; Herpotrichiellaceae. The record is from RNAcentral.